This 526-nucleotide ribosomal RNA is filed under the name uncultured cyanobacterium. RNAcentral's name for it is "bacterial SSU rRNA". It matches the Rfam family "Bacterial small subunit ribosomal RNA", at positions 915 to 1442 of the family's 1533-position model. The record is from RNAcentral. Lineage: Bacteria; Bacillati; Cyanobacteriota.
GGGGGCCCGCACAAGCGGUGGAGUAUGUGGUUUAAUUCGAUGCAACGCGAAGAACCUUACCAGGGCUUGACAUGUCGCGAAUCCCCUUGAAAGGGGGGAGUGCCUUCGGGAGCGCGAGCACAGGUGGUGCAUGGCUGUCGUCAGCUCGUGUCGUGAGAUGUUGGGUUAAGUCCCGCAACGAGCGCAACCCACGUUUCUAGUUGCCAGCAUUCAGUUGGGCACUUUAGAGAGACUGCCGGUGACAAACCGGAGGAAGGUGUGGAUGACGUCAAGUCAGCAUGCCCCUUACGUCCUGGGCUACACACGUACUACAAUGCUUCGGACAGAGGGUUGCCAGCCCGCGAGGGUGCGCUAAUCCCGUAAACCGAGGCUCAGUUCAGAUUGCAGGCUGCAACUCGCCUGCAUGAAGGCGGAAUCGCUAGUAAUCGCCGGUCAGCAUACGGCGGUGAAUACGUUCCCGGGCCUUGUACACACCGCCCGUCACACCAUGGGAGUUGGCCACGCCCGAAGUUGUUACCCUAACCUU